GUCCCUGUGGCACAAUGCAUAGCAUGUUGGACUUCUAAUCCAAAUGCCGUGAGGAUUCGAAUCCCACCUGGGAUA
Non-coding RNA from Trichonephila clavipes, 75 nucleotides. NCBI's taxonomy places the organism in Eukaryota, Metazoa, Arthropoda, Arachnida, Araneae, Nephilidae. The record is from the annotation of a GenBank genome assembly.